Molecule: non-coding RNA, 5122 nt
Organism: Coffea arabica (coffee)
Lineage: Eukaryota; Viridiplantae; Streptophyta; Magnoliopsida; Gentianales; Rubiaceae
Source: RefSeq, a predicted model, not a curated record
CGUCCCUCCCCUAUACCUCUCCAUCCCCAACUCAUUCAACCAGGGAAGCAGGAGAAUCAGAAACCUCUCCCUCUCUCUCUCUCUCCACUUUCCCUCUCUAUUUUCUCCGUUUCACACACACCAGAUAUAUACACACACAUAUAUAUAGGCACACACAUAUAGAUUCUCUCUCUCUCUCUCUCUCUAAAUUGUCUCCGUCUGCCGGUGGUUCGCCCAAGCACGAAACGUUCUGGGAGAAGCUUUUGAAGCGCUGAAAUUUAUGGAACAGGGAAGAGGGAUUAGGGUUUCAGCUGCUGUGAUUCACUGGCCAAAUGUGACUAUGAUGGGAUUAUUGGUGUGACUGACAGCUGGAGUAGUUUAUUGAUAUAAUUUUGUUUAUAUGAGCAAGCAUGGGGUCUGUCUGUUGUGUUGCUGCUAAGGAUAGAACGGUUACAAAUGGGUCUACCAGUGAAAUUAUGCACAGGAACAUUCGGCAUUCCCCAUCAUGGAGCUUUCGAUGGGAUAACCGGGUGCGAGUAGUGGGGGAGGAAACUUCUGUAAAUUGGAUUUCCGAUGGGGUCACCCGCAAUGAUCCACUAGAUGUUAAAUCUGGACCAACUAUUGAAACCACACAUGCAUCUGAAGAAGGUAGUCCAUUGGAUAGUUUUCAAUCACUUGUAUGGCAGAAGUCCCCAGUUUCUGAUGUAAAUAACGGGGCUACAAGGCUCACUACUUCUGGUACAUCUUUAUGCUGCUUCUCAUCUCAUUUCAUUUUAUAAAUGUAACGCUCUCUGAAGAAAAAAAGUACUCUUAUGGAGAUUACGCAAGUUUUCUUUUCUUUUUCCUACUUGAUUGUGUGAGUGCUGUGUUUAUUGUUCCUGGGAACUAAACCUAGUAUUUUGCAAUGUCGGAAUUUCGUGAGACAUUAAAUAAUCAGUCCUUGACAUAAAAAUACAUAGUUAAAAGUACAUAGUUAUGGUUGUAUACUGGGCUAAAAGCAAUGCCAAUUAGUGCGACAGAAAACAUCAUUCUAGUCUAAGAAUAAAAACUUCAAUGUUACACUGAAGUGGCAGUAUGUAGGGUGAGGUUCUUUCGAUUUCGCACAUUCAUCAUCUAUACUGCUGCAUAUGUCACAUAUACUAGCUGUACAGAGCAGCUUUAAGGCGAACACACAACUACACAAGCUGAUUGACUGGAAAACCAAGUAUAGGAAAAGGAAAAGGGUGAACAACUUGUGAUUCUGCAUGAGGCAGUCACUAUUGAUGAUUAAGCAGGGAUGAUGGGUGACUUUGAGAGUAACUUUGCUGGCUACUAAGAUAGGUGGUGUUAUACUAUAAUUUAGUCCUUUCCUAAGUAGAAUAAUACAAGCUUCAUAGGCAAAUACUUGGUUUCUGUGUUAUAUGUUUGCAUAAAAUUUUCCUGAUCUCCUCUUAGAUGGCAGUUUCAUGUGUAAUGACGUAUAUGAUAAUAUUCAAAUUAUUGUUGAAGCAAACUAUUUUGGCAACCAGUGUUACUGAUACCAUGCUUCAAGGCCACAGAAACUGUUUAACUCAACCAUCACUUCGUAUCUAAGUCUAUCCACCUUAUGCACGAGUUGAUGAACAUUGAUAAGUUUGGAAAUAUAUAAUUUCGUAUCACUUUGAUUGUUCAAGAGUUCUGGAAUGGUUAUAUAUACAGGUUUCCUGAUUAGUUUAAUAGUUUCAAAUAUCUGAUGAGUGGUUUUACAUCACCAUGACAAACUGAAAAACGGUGGAUGUUUCUCUGAGUAGCCAAAUAACUGCAUAACAUCUUCACUAUCUAGGUCUACUGUUGAGAAAGUUCGAUGGAGACCUAGUGGAUGAGGAUCAAAGAGUCAGAAAUCUUGUGAAGGAUUUUAGGCGCAUCUUUCAAGGACGAGGUAGUUUAUGCCUCAAGCCUUAGUUCAUGGGUUGUACAUAUAUACAACCAUGAAAAACUUUAUGCGUACACAAGCAGAUGAUAGAUGCCAAUUCUCAUCUAUGCUGUGGUAGUUGAUAAUUUCCUCUCUUAUUUAUUCUAUGUUAGUGGAGUGAUGGGGCUUUCAUCUUGCACUUUUCGAAUUAUUCUCUUGUAUCUGCAAAUGAAAUUAGUUUUUUUUUUUUUAACUCUAUGGGCUGAUUGGCAAUUAUACUCAAAAUUUAGUAGUAGUAGGAUGCUUUAACAACUGUUUCGUGGAGUGCAUUCAAAUAUUCCAUUUGCAACAUCUUGCUUCUAUUGUGGACAUUUGGGAAAAUAUUUUAUUUUACUGCUAUGGUGCAUCAUGGUCAGCCCUGCUGCAUUGGGGAAAACACUAAUUAUUGCUGCAUCAAUCAUGUUAUUUAGAUGUAUCUUGGUGUUCUUUACUGAAUAAUUAGCAAAUUGCCGAAAAAAAGCAAAAAAAAGUCAGCAAUUUUGACAUCAAAUCUUGCCACUUUUGGUAAGGUGGUUUUAAGCCCCGAGGUACCUAUUAUCUUGUCUGAAUUAUGAUGAAUUUUUUUUGGUUGCAGAUCCUUUAACCUGUACAAAUUCUACAGAUGUUAGGGAGUCAACUGCAUCUCCUGCAGUUUCUUGUCCAUCUCCCGUGAAGUUAUCUCCUUCAGCACCUUCAGUUUCCUCUCUGUCAACAUCACCUUUGUCAUCCCAAAGCCACCCGCUUCCUGCAAGCUCAACUCCAUCAAGAUGGCCUCGCCGUUCUCCUGGGCACCAACUCUUACGGCAAGUAUCUGACAGCCUUGUUCCAACAAUCAAGUCUCCAACUUUGUCAGUUUCUGAAGAAACAUCAUCUUUUAUGCUUCCUGGAUGGAGCCAUGAGUCAACUAGGGCUUCCCAUGGUGGGUCAUCAGACAGUUGGUCUACACCAACCUUCCCUGAUAUCAUGUCAACUUCCCGUAGAGAAAGGUGGUCUUUUGACAGUGAAACAUUGGGUUUUGUUCGUGACAAAAUAACCAGAUCUAGUGGUAGAAAUUCUGGUUAUUCCUUUGAUCUCCAAAGCUGUGGCAUUUGUGCGAAACUUUUGACUGAGAAAUCUUCAUGGGGCAGCCAGAAAAUUAUAGCAACUAAUGAGCUUGCAGUGGUUGCUGUUUUAAUUUGUGGGCACGUUUACCAUGCAGAGUGCUUGGAAAAUAUGACCUCUGAUAUUAACAAGUAUGAUCCAGCUUGUCCAAUCUGUACCUUUGGGGAGAAACAGGCACAGAAAAUGUCGGAGAAAGCUUUGAGAGCCGAAUUUGAGUUAAAGACUAGAAAGAGAUCUAGGAACAGGAUUGCUGAUAGUGACCUUAAUAGCGAUCUUGUUGCUUUUGAUCGUCAGAAAAGUAGUGGACAUGACGGAAGAGGUCCUAAGAUGAGUUCCAGUUCCAGCAUGAAGGGCUCUUUGGCGAAGCCUUUCUUGAGGCGUCACUUUUCUUUUGGAUCUAAAGGCAGUAGAUCAAUGUCAGAGAAUCAUUCUUCCUGGAAGAGGGGAUUCUUCUGGGCAAAAUCGAGAAAGGAUUAAGUUCUGUCUAGAGUUACAAAGAUUCCACAGUUGUUCUUCAGAUGGGCUACGAAAUGCAUGCAGGGAGCAGGCAAUCAGCCAUAAAUUCAACCCUGUCAAGGAAGCUGGCAUUGUCUCGUGCAAAUGUAGGUUAGCUUUUGAAGAUACACUGCAAAGGGAAGACCAUACAGAUGGGGAAAUGAAUUCAUUAUAAUAUAGGAAAAAGGAAAGAUGAUAGGGGUCAGGGCGUCCGUGCAUCAUGAAACUAGUUCUCUUUCAUUUUGUACGAUGGCUGUUUACUGUUUAAUUUCAUGAAAUUAGUUUGGAUAUAUGCGUAGCGUUUUACCAUCGCAUUUCUAAAUCGAUAUUCUAUGGGCCGAAUUACGCGUUGGAGACAUCAUUGGGUUGCUCCUCUCAAUCCCAUCUCUAUCUAUUGACGGAUCCGGAUCAUGAUGUUGAACCUUUCAACUUUUGACUUGGGAUUUGUGUUCGCGUGUUGUUAACUUGUUACUGACCGACUCAGAAGACAGCGGAUUCUGACUUCACCACGUGUCUCUUUAGUGAAAAUUUAAAAGGCAUUUUUCUUCUGUUCAUAGUUUAAAAUGUAAUGUGAUUAUUAAAAGAUCGUUUGGUAUUAUUUCAAGGAUGGAUGGAUUGGAUGGAAGGGAUAUCUGAUAUAUAUCAUACCCUUCCAAAAUUCAGGACCAUGACGUAUUUAAUAUCCCCCAGCGGAAGACACGUGCCUUGAUGUCUUAUAGGUGGCAAUACACUUCAGCUUCCUCUGCUAAUACGUGUGAGGAUCUUCGGUACCAUGCAGAAAAGACCGCGGUGCUCCUUCCACCGUCCUCAUCCCUCUCUUGGCUUUUUUAAGUCUCCUGCGAUAUCCAAAAUCCAAACAAAGCCGUUAUCGCAGCUAAAAUUCGUCAACCCCAAGUCUCAGGCUACCUUAAUUUCAGUGCCCUUUUUCUUUAUUUUUUUCUAAUAACAGGAGUCCUGGAAAAUGGCUGACUUGCGUGAUGAAUAUGGAAAUCCUAUGCAGUUGACCGACCAGUAUGGCAACCCGGUUCAGCUCAAGGACGAGUAUGGCAACCCAAUGCAGCUUAGCGGUGUAGCUAUCACCGCCGGGACGGCUAGUGCUGUCCAUUCUACUGGAACCGGACCAACUGCUGCCACUGGAACCCAGCAACAUCAGGAGCAGCUUCAUCGGUCUAGCAGCUCAAGCUCUGGCUCGUCGGAGGAUGAUGGACAAGGAGGAAGAAGAAAGAAAAAAGGGUUGAAACAAAAGAUAAAGGAGAAACUAACGGGCGGGAGGCACAAGGACAGAGACGAUCAGGAGCACAUCGAUGAUCAGCACGCGCACAGCGCCUCUCCUCCAACAACCACCACUGGCAGUGGGACGUCUACUACAGUCGGGGGUCAGCAGCAUGAAAAGAAGAGCAUGGUGGAGAAGAUUAUGGAAAAGCUCCCUGGCCAUCACGACACCCGCUAGUUACCUACCACAACAUACUGUGAUCAUCGUGUAAAAUCUCUCCUGAUGCCUAGGAAAUCUAGAUUAUGUUAGGCAUUUUGUUUGGUAUGUAUGUGUGAUUAAGACCUUGUUGUGCGCUUGAAUCUUGAACGUGCAUGGGAUUUGCUUGGUUUGAUUUGAUUUGGUGAAAUAAGUUGUACUAAUGUCUA